AGAACUUUAGUUAAAUCAUAACAUGUGCUUGUCAAGCAUAAAUUACUUACGAAGUAAGUUCUA
This 63-nucleotide transfer RNA is filed under the name Cheilonereis cyclurus. Its description in RNAcentral is "tRNA-Asp". Lineage: Eukaryota; Metazoa; Annelida; Polychaeta; Phyllodocida; Nereididae. The record is from RNAcentral.